Molecule: ribosomal RNA, 1347 nt
Filed under: uncultured bacterium
Lineage: Bacteria
Description: bacterial SSU rRNA
Rfam family: Bacterial small subunit ribosomal RNA
Source: RNAcentral
GACGAACGCUGGCGGCGUGCUUAACACAUGCAAGUCGAACGAUGAAGCCUAGCUUGCUAGGUGGAUUAGUGGCGAACGGGUGAGUAAUACGUGAGUAACCUACCUUUAACUCUGGGAUAAGCCCGGGAAACUGGGUCUAAUACCGGAUACGACCAAUCUCCGCAUGGGGUGUUGGUGGAAAGCGUUAUGUAGUGGUUAUAGAUGGGCUCACGGCCUAUCAGCUUGUUGGUGAGGUAACGGCUCACCAAGGCGACGACGGGUAGCCGGCCUGAGAGGGUGACCGGCCACACUGGGACUGAGACACGGCCCAGACUCCUACGGGAGGCAGCAGUGGGGAAUAUUGCACAAUGGGCGCAAGCCUGAUGCAGCGACGCCGCGUGAGGGAUGACGGCCUUCGGGUUGUNAACCUCUGUUAGCAGGGAAGAAGAGAGAUUGACGGUACCUGCAGAGAAAGCGCCGGCUAACUACGUGCCAGCAGCCGCGGUAAUACGUAGGGCGCGAGCGUUGUCCGGGAAUAUUGGGCGUAAGAGCUUGUAGGCGGUUUGUCGCGUCUGCUGUGAAAGGCCGGGGCUUAACCCCGUGUAUUGCAGUGGGUACGGGCAGACUAGAGUGCAGUAGGGGAGACUGGAAUUCCUGGUGUAGCGGUGGAAUGCGCAGAUAUCAGGAGGAACACCGAUGGCGAAGGCAGGUCUCUGGGCUGUAACUGACGCUGAGAAGCGAAAGCAUGGGGAGCGAACAGGAUUAGAUACCCUGGUAGUCCAUGCCGUAAACGUUGGGCACUAGGUGUGGGGGACAUUCCACGUUUUCCGCGCCGUAGCUAACGCAUUAAGUGCCCCGCCUGGGGAGUACGGCCGCAAGGCUAAAACUCAAAGAAAUUGACGGGGGCCCGCACAAGCGGCGGAGCAUGCGGAUUAAUUCGAUGCAACGCGAAGAACCUUACCAAGGCUUGACAUAUACUGGACCGCAUCAGAGAUGGUGUUUCCCUUCGGGGCUGGUAUACAGGUGGUGCAUGGUUGUCGUCAGCUCGUGUCGUGAGAUGUUGGGUUAAGUCCCGCAACGAGCGCAACCCUCGUUCUAUGUUGCCAGCACGUUAUGGUGGGGACUCAUAGGAGACUGCCGGGGUCAACUCGGAGGAAGGUGGGGAUGACGUCAAAUCAUCAUGCCCCUUAUGUCUUGGGCUUCACGCAUGCUACAAUGGCCGGUACAGAGGGUUGCGAUACUGUGAGGUGGAGCUAAUCCCUAAAAGCCGGUCUCAGUUCGGAUUGGGGUCUGCAACUCGACCCCAUGAAGUCGGAGUCGCUAGUAAUCGCAGAUCAGCAACGCUGCGGUGAAUACGUUCCCGGGCCU